Bradysia coprophila is the source of this 149-nucleotide long non-coding RNA. Lineage: Eukaryota; Metazoa; Arthropoda; Insecta; Diptera; Sciaridae. The record is from RefSeq and is a predicted model, not a curated record.
AAGAGUGUACCAAUUAUUGACGCAACUAGCUUGCCAUUCCUGACUCUAUUUCUUUUAAAGAUCAUAGUUUUGACUGAAUUCGACACUUCAGCAUCAUGCUUUCACUAACUGGAAAAUCAAUGUGAGAUCGAUAAAGAAUGGAUAAUAUC